RNAcentral lists this ribosomal RNA (253 nucleotides) under uncultured bacterium. RNAcentral describes it as "partial 16S ribosomal RNA". It matches the Rfam family "Bacterial small subunit ribosomal RNA", at positions 524 to 776 of the family's 1533-position model. The record is from RNAcentral.
UACAGAGGGGGCAAGCGUUAUUCGGAAUUAUUGGGCGUAAAGGGCGCGUAGGCGGCUUUUCAAGUGACGGGUGAAAUCCCUCGGCUUAACCGAGGAACUGCCUGUCAGACUGGAAGGCUUGAGACCGGGAGAGGUGAGUGGAAUUCCGAGUGUAGAGGUGAAAUUCGUAGAUAUUCGGAGGAACACCAGUGGCGAAGGCGGCUCACUGGCUCGGUACUGACGCUGAGGUGCGAAAGCGUGGGGAGCAAACAGG